UACAGGGGGGGCAAGCGUUGUUCGGAAUUACUGGGCGUAAAGGGCUGGUAGGCGGCCAACUAAGUCGGAUGUGAAAUCCCCAGGCUUAACCUGGGAACUGCAUCCGAUACUGGUCGGCUUGAAUCCGGGAGAGGGAUGCAGAAUUCCAGGUGUAGCGGUGAAAUGCGUAGAUAUCUGGAGGAAUACCGGUGGCGAAGGCGGCAUCCUGGACCGGCAUUGACGCUGAACAGCGAAAGCUAGGGGAGCAAACGGG
This 253-nucleotide ribosomal RNA is filed under the name uncultured bacterium. RNAcentral describes it as "partial 16S ribosomal RNA". It matches the Rfam family "Bacterial small subunit ribosomal RNA", at positions 524 to 776 of the family's 1533-position model. The record is from RNAcentral.